This is an unclassified non-coding RNA of Vombatus ursinus (common wombat), 290 nucleotides long. It matches the Rfam family "Metazoan signal recognition particle RNA". From Rfam's summary of the family: The signal recognition particle (SRP) is a universally conserved ribonucleoprotein. It is involved in the co-translational targeting of proteins to membranes. The eukaryotic SRP consists of a 300-nucleotide 7S RNA and six proteins: SRPs 72, 68, 54, 19, 14, and 9. The record is from Ensembl. NCBI's taxonomy places the organism in Eukaryota, Metazoa, Chordata, Mammalia, Diprotodontia, Vombatidae.
GCUGGGCAUGUUGUCAUCCACCUGUAAUUCUUGCUUCAGGGGAGUCUGAGGCUGGUGGAUUGUUUGAGGUCGGGAGUUCUGAGGUGCAGUAGGACUGAAGUUGACUGGAUAUCUGCGCUAAGUCCAAUAUGAUGAGCCCUUAGGAGUGGGGGGCCACCAGGCUGCCUUAGGAGGGCUGACCCAGCACAGGUUAGAAAAGGAGCAGGUCAGAACUCCUAGAAUGAUCAGUAGUGGGGUUGGGCCUGAGUGUCUGCUAUUCACCAGCAUAGGUGAUAGAGACUUAGUCUUUA